Molecule: ribosomal RNA, 645 nt
Filed under: uncultured bacterium
Lineage: Bacteria
Description: bacterial SSU rRNA
Rfam family: Bacterial small subunit ribosomal RNA
Source: RNAcentral
UAAAGAUUCAUCGGCUGCGGAUGGCCAUGCGGCGCAUUAGCUAGUCGGCGGGGUAACGGCCCACCGAGGCGACGAUGCGUAGGGGUUCUGAGAGGAAGGUCCCCCACACUGGUACUGAGACACGGACCAGACUCCUACGGGAGGCAGCAGUGAGGAAUAUUGGUCAAUGGCCGGGAGGCUGAACCAGCCAAGUCGCGUGAGGGAAGACGGCCCUACGGGUUGUAAACCUCUUUUGUCAGGGAGCAAGAGGCGGGUCGAGACCUGCCGUGAGAGUACCUGAAGAAAAAGCAUCGGCUAACUCCGUGCCAGCAGCCGCGGUAAUACGGAGGAUGCGAGCGUUAUCCGGAUUUAUUGGGUUUAAAGGGUGCGCAGGCGGAGGCACAAGUCAGCGGUAAAAUCGCGGGGCUCAACCCCGCUCCGCCGUUGAAACUGUGUCCCUUGAGUGCGCGAAGGGUAGGCGGAAUGCGUGGUGUAGCGGUGAAAUGCAUAGAUAUCACGCAGAACUCCGAUCGCGAAGGCAGCCUACCGGCGCGCAACUGACGCUCAUGCACGAAAGCGUGGGUAUCGAACAGGAUUAGAUACCCUGGUAGUCCACGCAGUAAACGAUGAAUGCUAUCUGUCCGGCCGGAAUGACGGCUGGGUGGC